CAGUGCUGCCACCGGGUUGUGAACGACCAUGGAGCUCGGCUUUCGGCUGAUCCUGGGGAAGUCACAAGAAGUGGUAGCGCUGCUGCUGCCCGAUGACGUGAGACCGGGCCUCAUCCACAGCAGUCUCCGGUGGGAGUCAGUGAUGAGCUACGAAUCGACCAAACUGAAAUCGUGCACAAAGCAUCGUGCCUAAGCCAGCUGACGGGCUGUUGCAACUAGAGAUCUCUAACUGUGUCUGGAUUCUAAUAGAACUUGGACCUUCUAUGAACCAGUAAUCCCAGGAGCUGGCACAUCCGGGUAGCAAACAUCUGUCUGAUAACUGCUCAUCCCAAUACCUCAUUGUCUUUAUAUCAAGAGUAGCAACAAACUUUCAGAACCAUAGCAACGAAGAGGGGCCUGUAUCCAGGGCAAAGACUCGAGAAGGCAGCUGUCAAUUUCCAUAUUCUGAAUGUUCCCAUCAUGGCUGAUUCCAAGCUACCAGUGAGUCCUCCCUGAACGUGAGUUGGGAAGAGAAAAACCUUUACCAGCCUUCUUUUGGUCAAGACAGAAGGUCAAAUUGGAAUAGAUCUAUUCUCCAAAGAUUGUUUGUUCUGCAAAGCUAGGUACCUUUCAAUUAUACUGAGAGAAGGCAAGAAGAACUAGGAUCCUGACAGAAGUGUAUACCCGGAUUUUCUUUCCUUUUUUG
Long non-coding RNA from Suricata suricatta (meerkat), 685 nucleotides. RefSeq lists it as uncharacterized. The transcript is spliced from 4 exons. Lineage: Eukaryota; Metazoa; Chordata; Mammalia; Carnivora; Herpestidae. The record is from RefSeq and is a predicted model, not a curated record.